AAAUUUUCAAUCCAGACCAUUAUAUUGUUCAAAAAUCAUCAAAAUUACGAGAAAAAAGAAAAACCACUAUCCACCAAUAUUGUUUAGAUUAUUACAACAGAAUUUCAAAACUAAUGCAUUAUUCCAAUUGAACACUGUCAAUCCCAGACGAGUACACUACCCAGAUACUUGAUUCUGUUCACGUCACCAAAAGGUAUGAAUACAGUAAUCCAUUAGUGAUUGGAUCACCAAAGGAACUAAUAAUAACAGCGCCA
Molecule: unclassified non-coding RNA, 254 nt
Filed under: Hevea brasiliensis (rubber tree)
Lineage: Eukaryota; Viridiplantae; Streptophyta; Magnoliopsida; Malpighiales; Euphorbiaceae
Source: RNAcentral